UUCCGGUUGAUCCUGCCGGAGGUCACUGCUAUUGGGAUUCGACUAAGCCAUGCGAGUCGAGAGGGUUCGGCCCUCGGCAGACUGCUCAGUAACACGUGGAUAAUCUGCCCUUAGGUGGAGGAUAACCUUGGGAAACUGAGAAUAAUACUCCAUAGAUCUAAGAUGCUGGAAUGCAUUUAGAUUGAAAGCUCCGGCGCCUAAGGAUGAGUCUGCGGACUAUCAGGUUGUAGUCAGGGUAAGGACCUGACUAGCCUACAACGGAUACGGGUUGUGAGAGCAAUAACCCGGAGACGAUAUCUGAGACACGAUAUCGGGCCCUACGGGGCGCAGCAGGCGCGAAACCUUCACAAUGUGCGAAAGCGCGAUGAGGGGAUCCCAAGUGCUUGCACUUAAGUGUAAGCUGUUUCUUUGUUUAAAAUGCAGAGAGAGGAAGGGCUGGGUAAGACGGGUGCCAGCCGCCGCGGUAAUACCUGCAGCUCAAGUGGUGACCGCUAUUAUUGGGCCUAAAACGUUCGUAGCCGGCUGAGUAAAUGCUUGGGUAAAUCGUGCCGCUUAACGGUACGAAUUCCGGGUAGACUGCUCAGCUUGAGACCGGGAGAAGCUAGAGGUACUCCUGGGGUAGAGGUGAAAUUCUGUAAUCCUGGGGGGACCACCAGUGGCGAAGGCGUCUAGCUAGAACGGGUCUGACGGUGAGGGACGAAACCCUGGGGCGCAAACCGGAUUAGAUACCCGGGUAGUCCAGGGCGCAAACGCUGCUUGCUUGAUGUUAGCUGGGCUCCGGGCUCAGCUAGUGUCGGAGAGAAGUUGUUAAGCAAGCUGCCUGGGAAGUACGAUCGCAAGAUUGAAACUUAAAGGAAUUGGCGGGGGAGCACAGCAACGGGUGGAGCGUGCGGUUUAAUUGGAUUCAACGCCGGG
RNAcentral lists this ribosomal RNA (915 nucleotides) under uncultured archaeon. RNAcentral describes it as "bacterial SSU rRNA". It matches the Rfam family "Archaeal small subunit ribosomal RNA", at positions 1 to 922 of the family's 1478-position model. The record is from RNAcentral.